Molecule: unclassified non-coding RNA, 329 nt
Filed under: soil metagenome
Description: partial contains 5.8S ribosomal RNA, internal transcribed spacer 2, and large subunit ribosomal RNA
Rfam family: 5.8S ribosomal RNA (bases 1-120)
Source: RNAcentral
GAUGAAGAACGUAGCGAAAUGCGAUAAGUAAUGUGAAUUGCAGAAUUCAGUGAAUCAUCGAAUCUUUGAACGCACAUUGCGCCCCUUGGUAUUCCGAGGGGCAUGCCUGUUCGAGCGUCAUUAUAACCCCUCAAGCUCAGCUUGGUGUUGGGGCCUGCUGCACUGGCAGCCCUUAAAAUCAGUGGCGGCGCCAUCUGGCUCUAAGCGUAGUAAUUCUUCUCGCUAUGGAGUCCUGGUGGAUGCUUGCCAUCAACCCCCAAUUUUUCUAUGGUUGACCUCGGAUCAGGUAGGGAUACCCGCUGAACUUAAGCAUAUCAAUAGGCGGAGGA